AAUAUUUCGCAAUGGGCGAAAGCCUGACGCAGCAACGCCGCGUGAACGAUGAAGGCCUUCGGGUCGUAAAGUUCUGUCAGGGGGGAAGAAUAAAUGACGGUACCCCCGGAGGAAGCCCCGGCUACCUACGUGCCAGCAGCCGCGGUAAUACGUAGGGGGCGAGCGUUGUCCGGAAUUACUGGGCGUAAAGGGCGUGUAGGCGGCCGAUCAAGUCAGGUGUGAAAUUCCAGGGCUCAACCCUGGACGUGCACUUGAAACUGGUAGGCUUGAGUGCAGGAGAGGAAAGUGGAAUUCCCAGUGUAGCGGUGAAAUGCGUAGAUAUUGGGAGGAACACCAGUGGCGAAGGCGACUUUCUGGCCUGUAACUGACGCUGAGGCGCGAAAGCUAGGGGAGCAAAC
This 398-nucleotide ribosomal RNA is filed under the name uncultured bacterium. RNAcentral describes it as "partial 16S ribosomal RNA". It matches the Rfam family "Bacterial small subunit ribosomal RNA", at positions 360 to 773 of the family's 1533-position model. The record is from RNAcentral.